Molecule: ribosomal RNA, 435 nt
Filed under: uncultured Flavobacterium sp.
Lineage: Bacteria; Pseudomonadati; Bacteroidota; Flavobacteriia; Flavobacteriales; Flavobacteriaceae
Description: bacterial SSU rRNA
Rfam family: Bacterial small subunit ribosomal RNA
Source: RNAcentral
GGAAUAUUGGACAAUGGGCGCAAGCCUGAUCCAGCCAUGCCGCGUGCAGGAUGACGGUCCUAUGGAUUGUAAACUGCUUUUAUACAGGAAGAAACACUACUUCGUGAAGUAGCUUGACGGUACUGUAAGAAUAAGGAUCGGCUAACUCCGUGCCAGCAGCCGCGGUAAUACGGAGGAUCCAAGCGUUAUCCGGAAUCAUUGGGUUUAAAGGGUCCGUAGGCGGUUUAAUAAGUCAGUGGUGAAAGCCCAUCGCUCAACGGUGGAACGGCCAUUGAUACUGUUAGACUUGAAUUAUUAGGAAGUAACUAGAAUAUGUAGUGUAGCGGUGAAAUGCUUAGAGAUUACAUGGAAUACCAAUUGCGAAGGCAGGUUACUACUAAUUGAUUGACGCUGAUGGACGAAAGCGUGGGUAGCGAACAGGAUUAGAUACCCGAG